UGCCAGCCGCCGCGGUAAUACGGAGGGGGCGAGCGUUAUUCGGAAUUACUGGGCGUAAAGGGUGCGUAGGCGGCCCAUCAAGUUAGACGUGAAAGCCCCGGGCUCAACCCGGGAAUUGCUGGGCAAACCGGUAUUCUUGAGGCAAGUAGAGGUGACUGGAACAACUGGUGGAGCGGUGAAAUGCGUAGAUAUCAGUUGGAACGCCGGAGGCGAAAGCGGGUCACUGGGCUUGUUCUGACGCUCAGACGCGAAAGCGAGGGUAGCAAACAGGAUUAGAUA
RNAcentral lists this ribosomal RNA (279 nucleotides) under uncultured bacterium. RNAcentral's name for it is "partial 16S ribosomal RNA". It matches the Rfam family "Bacterial small subunit ribosomal RNA", at positions 506 to 784 of the family's 1533-position model. The record is from RNAcentral.